AGGCACCUUUCUUCUUCACAAAACCAAAGACAUGGUUGAUGGUCCUGCCAUGCUGCCUGUGCGACUUCCCAAGCAUGGUGAUGAUGAGAAUGGUUUUGGGCAAGAGGGUAUUCCCUUGAGGCGGCAAGAUUCCUUGAGAUCACCAUAAUGUAUGAUUUUUGUAUUUUCCUUCCCUAUUCCCCACCAACCUGUCCAACUGUUUAACCGCCCAAUUCAGCUGCACCAGUCCAUUCUCAUAGUAUUUUCUUCUCAGAAGGGACCACACUCAUAUUGUAUACAAUUGGGGGACUCUUUAUAAUAUUCAGCAAGAGAAAUGAAGGCGCUUUCUCACCCUUCUUGUAUCGAUAGAAUCAUCAGAAACUUGUUCAUGUGAUUGCUAAGCCUAUUGUACAGAAGCUCAGUUCUCUAUGUAUUUCCGAGCAGAUUGGUUCCAGGCGCACUAUCUUGACAUACCUGUAAAAAUAACUAGUAUAUUCGAUCGUUUAACAAGAACUAAAUCAGUUGGAUUUUUGUAUGCUCCAUCAGCCAUUAAUGUAAUAGCUUUAUCCUA
Molecule: unclassified non-coding RNA, 550 nt
Filed under: Hevea brasiliensis (rubber tree)
Lineage: Eukaryota; Viridiplantae; Streptophyta; Magnoliopsida; Malpighiales; Euphorbiaceae
Source: RNAcentral